UUGCUAUGUUCAUUUGAUUAAAAAGCCAUAUCUUCUCCUUCUGCUAAUAGAGAGAUUGAAAUGUUUGUAACAUGCUAGAUUAAAUGUGGAGCUAUCAGGGCUGCCUGUCUUAAAGCACAGACUGUGCAGUAGUAUAAAACUCCAACAUUA
Molecule: small nucleolar RNA, 150 nt
Organism: Protopterus annectens (West African lungfish)
Lineage: Eukaryota; Metazoa; Chordata; Ceratodontiformes; Protopteridae
Product: small nucleolar RNA U109
Exons: 1
Source: RefSeq, a predicted model, not a curated record